AUGGAGGUGAGCUUCUCCGGUGGCGGCGGCGACCUGCAGCCGAAGGGCGACGGCGGCGGUGCUCGACUCAAUCUACAGGAGAGAGAGACAGAGGAUGAGAGGGAGAGAGAGAAGGAAGGAGAGGAGGAUAAAGAGAGAGGAAAUAGGAGAGGGAGGUGCGGCGGUGGACAGGAGAGGGUGGGUGGAAGGACGCCGCCGGCUCGUCGUUGUUCACACCGUGUUGGACAAAGAGGAGAGGGAUGUGCGGCGGCAGAUGGGAGAGGGUCACCGGAAGGAGCACCGCUGGCUCGUCAUCGUUCACACCGCACUGGGAAAGUGAUGCCUCUGUAUAGCCCUCACGCCCGCAGAGUACAGAAGUGGUUGCCCCUGAGGUCUCCUCCUGCUCAGCUUAUUCAUUGA
Molecule: ribosomal RNA, 399 nt
Filed under: Triticum aestivum (bread wheat)
Lineage: Eukaryota; Viridiplantae; Streptophyta; Magnoliopsida; Poales; Poaceae
Description: partial small subunit ribosomal RNA
Source: RNAcentral